GCUCUGGAGCGGGAGCUGGGAGGUGGGACUUGGGUAUGGGCAGCUGAGCUCUGGAGCGGGAGCUGGGAAUGGCCAGCUGAACUCUGGAGCGGGAGCAGGGAGCUGGGAGGCGGGACUUGGGAAUGGGCAGCUGAGCUCUGGAGCGGGAGCUGGGAAUGGGCAGCUGAGCUCUGGAGCGGGAGCAGGGAGCUGGGAGGCGGGAUUUGGGAAUGGGAAGCUGAGCUCUGGAGCGGGAGCAGGGAGCUGGGAGGCGGGACUUGGGAAUGGGCAGCUGAGCUCUGGAGCGGGAGCUGGGAAUGGGAAGCUGAGCUCUGGAGCGGGAGCAGGGAGCUGGGAGGCGGGACUUGGGAAUGGGCAGCUGAGCUCUGGAGCGGGAGCUGGGAAUGGACAGCUGAGCUCUGGAGCGGGAGCAGGGAGCUGGGAGGCGGGACUUGGGAAUGGGCAGCUGAGCUCUGGAGCGGGAGCUGGGAAUGGGCAGCUGAGCUCUGGAGCGGGAGCAGGGAGCUGGGAGGCGGGAUUUGGGAAUGGGAAGCUGAGCUCUGGAGCGGGAGCAGGGAGCUGGGAGGCGGGACUUGGGAAUGGGCAGCUGAGCUCUGGAGCGGGAGCUGGGAAUGGACAGCUGAGCUCUGGAGCGGGAGCAGGGAGCUGGGAGGCGGGAUUUGGGAAUGGGCAGCUGAGCUCUGGAGCGGGAGCUGGAAAUGGGCAGCUGAGCUCUGGAGCGGGAGCAGGGAGCUGGGAGGCGGGACCUGGGAAUGGGAAACUGAGCUCUGGAGCGGGAGGUGGGACUGGGCAUCUGAGGUCUGGAGCGAGAUCUGGGAGGCGGGACCCGGGAAGGGAAAGCUGAGCUCUGGAGCGGGAGCUGGAAAUGGGCAGCUGAGCUCUGGAGCGGGAGCUGGGAAUGGGCAGCUGAGCUCUGGAGCGGGAGCAGGGAGCUGGGAGGCGGGAUUUGGGAAUGGGCAGCUGAGCUCUGGAGCGGGAGCUGGAAAUGGGCAGCUGAGCUCUGGAGCGGGAGCAGGGAGCUGGGAGGCGGGACUUGGGAAUGGGCAGCUGAGCUCUGGAGCGGGAGCUGGGAAUGGACAGCUGAGCUCUGGAGCGGGAGCAGGGAGCUGGGAGGCGGGACUUGGGAAUGGGCAGCUGAGCUCUGGAGCGGGAGCUGGGAAUGGACAGCUGAGCUCUGGAGCGGGAGCAGGGAGCUGGGAGGCGGGACUUGGGAAUGGGCAGCUGAGCUCUGGAGCGGGAGCUGGGAAUGGACAGCUGAGCUCUGGAGCGGGAGCUGGGAAUGGACAUCUGAGCUCUGGAGCGGGAGCAGGGAGCUGGGAGGCGGGACCUGGGAAUGGGAAGCUGAGCUCUGGAGCGGGAGCUGGGAGCGGGGAGGCGGGACCCGGGAAGGGGAAGCCGAGGUGUGGACGGAGCGGGAGCCGGGCUCGGGGAGGCGGGAGCCGGGCUCGGGGAGGCGGGCCCCGGGAGCCGCUCCCUGCGGUGCCGUAG
RNAcentral lists this long non-coding RNA (1488 nucleotides) under Ornithorhynchus anatinus (platypus). RNAcentral's name for it is "lncRNA (ENSOANG00000048672.1)". The record is from RNAcentral. Lineage: Eukaryota; Metazoa; Chordata; Mammalia; Monotremata; Ornithorhynchidae.